Long non-coding RNA from Rhagoletis pomonella (apple maggot), 415 nucleotides. RefSeq lists it as uncharacterized. The transcript is spliced from 3 exons. Lineage: Eukaryota; Metazoa; Arthropoda; Insecta; Diptera; Tephritidae. The record is from RefSeq and is a predicted model, not a curated record.
AAAAAUAAAUACGUACAUACAUUAUUUCAAUACAGCUUAACAUGGAUAAAGGGUUAAUACGCAACAGAUAUGCUGUGAAUAGCGAUUUUAACACCAAUCCGUCGAUGAACGUCUUGGGCGUAUUGAGAAAGCAUUGGAGAGAAUUGAAAACAGACAAAUAAAAAUUGAAGGAUACUUCGCGAAUUGAAAAAACUUUGGAGGGAAUUAACAAUAGGCAAAUGAAAAUUGAAGAAACCUUACAGGAUACCUUGCCCAAAAUUCGCUCAGCUGUAGACCAAUUGAUAAAGAAAAAUGUUCCAAUUACCACCAAAAAGAUAUUUCCAAUAUUGACUUUGGGUGAUCUGGAGGAAGCAAACAAGGAAGUUGGCAAUGAAAUCGAGAAAUACGUAAGUUCAUUAUUAUAUUUCCUAAUAAA